UGUCCCUAGGGGGGCAGCAGUGAGGAAUAUUGGUCAAUGGGAGAGAUCCUGAACCAGCCAAGCCGCGUGAGGGAAGACGGCCCUAUGGGUUGUAAACCUCUUUUGUCGGAGAACAAAACCCGGGACGAGUCCCGGACUGCGUGUAUCCGAAGAAAAAGCAUCGGCUAACACCGUGCCAGCAGCCGCGGUAAUACGGAGGAUGCGAGCGUUAUCCGGAUUUAUUGGGUUUAAAGGGUGCGUAGGCGAUCCGUUAAGUCAGCGGUAAAAUUGCGGGGCUCAACCCCGUCGAGCCGUUGAAAAU
Molecule: ribosomal RNA, 301 nt
Filed under: uncultured bacterium
Lineage: Bacteria
Description: bacterial SSU rRNA
Rfam family: Bacterial small subunit ribosomal RNA
Source: RNAcentral